GACGAACCGUGCGAACGUUGUUCGGAAUCACUGGGCUUAAAGGGUGCGUAGGUGGUGAGGUAAGUCGGAUGUGAAAUCUCCGAGCUCAACUCGGAAAUGGCAUUGGAAACUACCUUGCUAGAGGAUCGGAGGGGGGACUGGAAUACUUGGUGUAGCAGUGAAAUGCGUAGAUAUCAAGUGGAACACCAGUGGCGAAGGCGAGUCCCUGGACGAUACCUGACACUGAGGCACGAAAGCUAGGGGAGCAAACAGG
This 253-nucleotide ribosomal RNA is filed under the name uncultured bacterium. RNAcentral's name for it is "partial 16S ribosomal RNA". It matches the Rfam family "Bacterial small subunit ribosomal RNA", at positions 524 to 776 of the family's 1533-position model. The record is from RNAcentral.